Molecule: ribosomal RNA, 1354 nt
Filed under: uncultured bacterium
Lineage: Bacteria
Description: bacterial SSU rRNA
Rfam family: Bacterial small subunit ribosomal RNA
Source: RNAcentral
CCUGGCUCAGGACGAACGCUGGCGGCGCGCCUAACACAUGCAAGUCGAACGAGCGAGAGAGAGCUUGCUUUCUCAAGCGAGUGGCGAACGGGUGAGUAACGCGUGAGGAACCUGCCUCAAAGAGGGGGACAACAGUUGGAAACGACUGCUAAUACCGCAUAAGCCCACGGGUCGGCAUCGACCAGAGGGAAAAGGAGCAAUCCGCUUUGAGAUGGCCUCGCGUCCGAUUAGCUAGUUGGUGAGGUAACGGCCCACCAAGGCAACGAUCGGUAGCCGGACUGAGAGGUUGAACGGCCACAUUGGGACUGAGACACGGCCCAGACUCCUACGGGAGGCAGCAGUGGGGAAUAUUGCACAAUGGGGGAAACCCUGAUGCAGCGACGCCGCGUGGAGGAAGAAGGUCUUCGGAUUGUAAACUCCUGUUGUUGAGGAAGAUAAUGACGGUACUCAACAAGGAAGUGACGGCUAACUACGUGCCAGCAGCCGCGGUAAAACGUAGGUCACAAGCGUUGUCCGGAAUUACUGGGUGUAAAGGGAGCGCAGGCGGGAAGACAAGUUGGAAGUGAAAUCUAUGGGCUCAACCCAUAAACUGCUUUCAAAACUGUUUUUCUUGAGUAGUGCAGAGGUAGGCGGAAUUCCCGGUGUAGCGGUGGAAUGCGUAGAUAUCGGGAGGAACACCAGUGGCGAAGGCGGCCUACUGGGCACAACUGACGCUGAGGCUCGAAAGUGUGGGUAGCAAACAGGAUUAGAUACCCUGGUAGUCCACACCGUAAACGAUGAUUACUAGGUGUUGGAGGAUUGACCCCUUCAGUGCCGCAGUUAACACAAUAAGUAAUCCACCUGGGGAGUACGACCGCAAGGUCGAAACUCAAAGGAAUUGACGGGGGCCCGCACAAGCAGUGGAGCAUGUGGUUUAAUUCGACGCAACGCGAAGAACCUUACCAAGUCUUGACAUCCCUUGACGAACAUAGAAAUAUGUUUUCUCUUCGGAGCAAGGAGACAGGUGGUGCAUGGUUGUCGUCAGCUCGUGUCGUGAGAUGUUGGGUUAAGUCCCGCAACGAGCGCAACCCUUACUGUCAGUUACUACGCAAGAGGACUCUGGCAGGACUGCCGUUGACAAAACGGAGGAAGGUGGGGAUGACGUCAAAUCAUCAUGCCCUUUAUGACUUGGGCUACACACGUACUACAAUGGCGUUAAACAAAGAGAAGCAAGACCGCGAGGUGGAGCAAAACUCAGAAACAACGUCCCAGUUCGGACUGCAGGCUGCAACUCGCCUGCACGAAGUCGGAAUUGCUAGUAAUCGUGGAUCAGCAUGCCACGGUGAAUACGUUCCCGGGCCUUGUACACACCGCC